Molecule: ribosomal RNA, 499 nt
Filed under: uncultured bacterium
Lineage: Bacteria
Description: bacterial SSU rRNA
Rfam family: Bacterial small subunit ribosomal RNA
Source: RNAcentral
GAUGAACGCUGGCGGCGUGCCUAACACAUGCAAGUCGAACGAAGCUGUAUGACGGAAGUUUUCGGAUGGAAGAUAUACAGACUUAGUGGCGGACGGGUGAGUAACGCGUGAGCAAUCUGCCUUUGGGAGGGGGAUAACAGUUGGAAACGACUGCUAAUACCGCAUAAUGCAAUUGAGUGGCAUCACUUAAUUGCCAAAGUUUUUUCGCCCAAAGAUGAGCUCGCGUCUGAUUAGCUAGUUGGUGGGGUAAUGGCCCACCAAGGCGACGAUCAGUAGCCGGACUGAGAGGUUGAACGGCCACAUUGGGACUGAGACACGGCCCAGACUCCUACGGGAGGCAGCAGUGGGGAAUAUUGCGCAAUGGGGGAAACCCUGACGCAGCAACGCCGCGUGAAGGAUGAAGGUCUUCGGAUUGUAAACUUCUUUGAUUAGGGAAGAAUUUUGACGGUACCUAAAGAACAAGCCACGGCUAACUACGUGCCAGCCGCCGCCGUAAGAC